UCAGACCAGGGUGGCUAACUUUUAUCCCUUUCAUAUCUCACUUCAUAAAAUCAGUGUCAAAAGUCAGACUGAUGACCAAACACAAGAUGCACCUACAGCUCCUGUCCUGUCCUGAAGGCUUCACUUCUUUUGAUCUCUGGGACAACAGGCUGGCUAUUGUCCAUGUGCUGCAUUUUUCCCUCUAGCAACAAAAGAUGGCUACGGAAGCUAAAUGAGCAGUUUGUUGCAAAAUGAGACAGUUGGAGAGACCGCCUGCUCUGGUGGAGUUCCCGGGGCAUUAUGCAAACCCUUCAAAAGAGAGAUCACUGCAACUACCACCACUGAGCUCCCCUGCUGUGAGCUGACAGCUACUCAACAGGAAACAACUACACUGCACAGGCAGCAUACAUGUUUUGGAGUUGCCAUUGUGAAAAUCGUAGGAGUGGUGAAGCAGACAUUGGCUUGGU
Molecule: long non-coding RNA, 446 nt
Filed under: Anas platyrhynchos platyrhynchos (common mallard)
Lineage: Eukaryota; Metazoa; Chordata; Aves; Anseriformes; Anatidae
Description: lncRNA (ENSAPLG00000020044.1)
Source: RNAcentral